Molecule: long non-coding RNA, 297 nt
Filed under: Pelobates cultripes (western spadefoot toad)
Lineage: Eukaryota; Metazoa; Chordata; Amphibia; Anura; Pelobatidae
Source: RNAcentral
AGAAAAGCGCUUGUUACAUCCCACAUGAAAGGGGCCCCGCAAACUUCGGCUGUUCAAAUCGUGGAUCCACGUUUCCAUUUGCAAAUUGAUUAAUCCUGAAAGUCAUUCUUUUACUGAUAAAAAGGAUUGAAUGGACAACAUGUCUCUCCAUCAGAAAGGAGUUCUAAUAGGGGAGUAUUGUCCAGCUCAGAGUUAACUCUACUUUUAAAGUAUAUUGCAUUGUUUGUGUCAAAGUAAGAUUCAUCUAGUAUGCCUCAUUGAUUAUGGGGUAAUAAUAAAAUGGUAUUUUUAUUGGAG